This 424-nucleotide ribosomal RNA is filed under the name uncultured bacterium. RNAcentral's name for it is "bacterial SSU rRNA". It matches the Rfam family "Bacterial small subunit ribosomal RNA", at positions 355 to 776 of the family's 1533-position model. The record is from RNAcentral.
UAAGGAAUAUUGGACAAUGGACGCAAGUCUGAUCCAGCCAUGCCGCGUGAAGGAUGAAGGUCCUCUGGAUUGUAAACUUCUUUUAUAUGGGACGAAAAAAGGGAAUUCUUUCCCUCUUGACGGUACUGUAUGAAUAAGCACCGGCUAACUCCGUGCCAGCAGCCGCGGUAAUACGGAGGGUGCAAGCGUUAUCCGGAUUCACUGGGUUUAAAGGGUGCGUAGGCGGGUAUGUAAGUCAGUGGUGAAAUCCUGGAGCUUAACUCCGGAACUGCCAUUGAUACUAUAUAUCUUGAAUAUUGUGGAGGUUUGCGGAAUAUGUCAUGUAGCGGUGAAAUGCAUAGAUAUGACAUAGAACACCUAUUGCGAAGGCAGCAGGCUACACAUAUAUUGACGCUGAGGCACGAAAGCGUGGGGAUCAAACAGG